RNAcentral lists this ribosomal RNA (837 nucleotides) under uncultured bacterium. RNAcentral's name for it is "bacterial SSU rRNA". It matches the Rfam family "Bacterial small subunit ribosomal RNA", at positions 15 to 846 of the family's 1533-position model. The record is from RNAcentral.
GAUCCUGGCUCAGGAUGAACGCUAGCUACAGGCUUAACACAUGCAAGUCGAGGGGCAGCAUGACGAUAGCUUGCUAUUGUUGAUGGCGACCGGCGCACGGGUGAGUAACGCGUAUCCAACCUGCCCUUGUCCAUCGGAUAACCCGUCGAAAGGCGGCCUAACACGAUAUGCAGUUCUCAGCAGGCAUCUAACGAGAACGAAAUGUGAAGGAGAAGGAUGGGGAUGCGUCUGAUUAGCUUGUUGGUGGGGUAACGGCCCACCAAGGCGACGAUCAGUAGGGGUUCUGAGAGGAAGGUCCCCCACAUUGGAACUGAGACACGGUCCAAACUCCUACGGGAGGCAGCAGUGAGGAAUAUUGGUCAAUGGGCGAGAGCCUGAACCAGCCAAGUAGCGUGCAGGAUGACGGCCCUAUGGGUUGUAAACUGCUUUUAUGCGGGGAUAAAGUGGGCCACGUGUGGCUUAUUGCAGGUACCGCAUGAAUAAGGACCGGCUAAUUCCGUGCCAGCAGCCGCGGUAAUACGGAAGGUCCGGGCGUUAUCCGGAUUUAUUGGGUUUAAAGGGAGCGUAGGCCGUCUGAUAAGCGUGUUGUGAAAUGUCGGGGCUCAACCUGGGCAUUGCAGCGCGAACUGUCAGACUUGAGUGCGCGGGAAGUAGGCGGAAUUCGUCGUGUAGCGGUGAAAUGCUUAGAUAUGACGAAGAACUCCGAUUGCGAAGGCAGCCUGCUGUAACGCAACUGACGCUGAAGCUCGAAAGCGUGGGUAUCGAACAGGAUUAGAUACCCUGGUAGUCCGCACAGUAAACGAUGAAUACUCGCGAUUUGCGAUACACAGUAAGUCG